CCCCCGCUUCGUCGAUGGGCAUGUGUAUGGGCACACAUUCUGUGGGGCGAGCAGAUCCGGCCCUAGCGAUGUCAUCUUUGGUCUAGCAGCACGCUUCAUGCGGCGAGCAGUUUCGUGCACGAGGAGGGGGCUGCUUGCUUGUUUCCAAGAUGGUUGGAAGGAUUAUUCUUCAUUUGGUGUGAGAGGUCACUGGCAUGGCUUGCGACGUCCACGACUUAGUUGACUUGUGGCGGUGGCGUAGUGUGAUCUUGAUGUAGUUGAUGGGUUAAUGUAAAAAAUUAGUUUUCCAUAUGUUAUGUUUAUAUGCUUGGAUGAAUGAGCAAAGCUAUUGGUUGUUAUGUAACCUUAGUUGGGUUUAGAUAGUUUUGUUGACUAGGUUUCUAUGCAUGUUGUGAAUUGUGCUCAUAUGCACAAUGUUUUCUAUGCCACAACUCAUGAGUUUUCUAUGCCAUAUUUUAUUCA
Long non-coding RNA from Sorghum bicolor (sorghum), 462 nucleotides. RefSeq lists it as uncharacterized. The transcript is spliced from 2 exons. NCBI's taxonomy places the organism in Eukaryota, Viridiplantae, Streptophyta, Magnoliopsida, Poales, Poaceae. The record is from RefSeq and is a predicted model, not a curated record.